RNAcentral lists this ribosomal RNA (510 nucleotides) under uncultured bacterium. RNAcentral's name for it is "bacterial SSU rRNA". It matches the Rfam family "Bacterial small subunit ribosomal RNA", at positions 16 to 518 of the family's 1533-position model. The record is from RNAcentral.
AUUAUGGCUCAGGAUGAACGCUAGCGGCAGGCUUAACACAUGCAAGUCGAGGGGCAUCGGGAGUAGCAAUACUGCCGGCGACCGGCGCAAGGGUGCGUAACGCGUGAGCAACAUGCCCGUAUCAGGGGGGAUAAUCCAUGGAAACGUGGUCUAAUACCCCAUAGUAAUUAUGUAAGGCAUCUUAUAUAAUUUAAAGCUUUGGUGGAUACGGAUUGGCUCGCGUGACAUUAGCUGGAUGGUAAGGUAACGGCUUACCAUGGCUACGAUGUCUAGGGGUUCUGAGAGGAAGGUCCCCCCACACUGGAACUGAGACACGGUCCAGACUCCUACGGGAGGCAGCAGUGAGGAAUAUUGGACAAUGGAUGGAAAUCUGAUCCAGCCAUGCCGCGUGCAAGGAAGACCGGCCCUAUGGGUUGUAAACUGCUUUUGUAUGGGAGCAAUAAGGGCUACGUGUAGUCCGAUGAGAGUACCAUACGAAUAAGCACCGGCUAACUCCGUGCCAGCAGCCGC